Molecule: long non-coding RNA, 1353 nt
Filed under: Equus caballus (horse)
Lineage: Eukaryota; Metazoa; Chordata; Mammalia; Perissodactyla; Equidae
Description: lncRNA (ENSECAG00000058603.1)
Source: RNAcentral
CGUUCCUGUCCGCCUGGCAGCCCCUCCUGAUGCUGGGGUUUGAUCCCCCUUCCCGCAGACCGGAAGUCAGGCAGGCCCGACCCCAGGCAGGCCCUCCUCCUCUGAGUUCCAGGCCGCCUCUGGCAGCCUUCCUCUCUGCACUGUAGCCUUUCCCAUCUCUAAAAUGGGAGGCUACACUUUGACCCUCAGUGAAGAGCCUUUCCAGCUCAAUAUUCUAGAAGAAAAUGCGGGAUAGUGACCCAGCAGAAGCACACAAGCUUUCCAAGACAGACCUUCAGAGACCCGGGCUGAGGUUCUUCUCCUCACCAGAGCAAAUGCCCUCUAAAACCAGAGCUGGAGGGUUACACCAAAGGAAUGGCAUUCUAAUGGUGGAAUUUCAGGCAAGGAUGGGGUGGGGACAAGGUGACGAGCUUGACCCAGACUGCUGGGCCUGAGGCGGGGCCGAGCUCCCUUCCCAGGGGUCCCUGCUGCAGGGGCAGCAUGGUCCUGCAGCCUGGGCUCCCGGGUUAAUGAUCUGUGGGCUGAAUCUGGAUGCAGGAGCUGGAGUUCUAUUUAAACGGCUGGGCCCGUGAAUCAGGCCGCAGCAGCUCGAGGAGGGGACAAGUUCCCUCGAAUCUUGGAACGUCUCCGGCUGUGAUGCCAAACGCAGCGCAGCAUCUGGGCUUUCAGAGCCUCCCCACCCCCGGGGAAGGCAGCCUUCGGGGGCAGAAGUGGGCGUGGGGAUGCAGCAGAGAGCUGAGCCCUGAGCUGGAGCAGGACCCCUCCGGCCCCCGUGAGGACCAGGUGGGGAAACCGAGGCCCAGGGAAGGACAGAGACUUUUGAAGCCACACAUCCCAUGGGCAGACAGAGACGGGCCUGGAUCCAGGGCUGUACCCCCGUCUGUCACUGUCCUCCACUUUCGGCCAGAGGAACCAGAAGGCCCAGCACUGAGCAGGAAGGGAGCUGGAAGGCCCCCAUGGAGGCUGCCUCUGGCCAGAGGUCAGGCGUGUGUCCCACGAGCCCCAGUCCAGCCUUGGCCUCAGCACCUCCUGCUUCCCCUGUCCCUGGAGUCUGAAGGCAGGAGCAGCCCGCUAGCUUCUCAGGAUCGCCAUUCCCUCCUCCGGUGCUCCUGUCCCCUCAGCUGGGGCAGGCUCCCCAGAGCAGGGGCUCUCUCCCAACCCCCACCUGCCCAGUGAGGCUGGGAAGGCCCAGCUGAUCGCUCACGAGGCAGCUGGCAGACUGCCCUGAGUGCAGGCUGUGGCCUGGGUUUGGAUCUCAAAUUCCGCCUCUUCCAGGCUGUGUGAACUUGGGCCCUUUCCCUCUCUGAGCCUUUGUUUCCUCAUCUGUAAAAUGGGAAUAAAGACAGAGCUUAU